UCUGGCAAGUCACGAUAAUGGAUACCACUCCACUCUUCAGGCUCCAUUACUCUCUAGCAAGUCGUGACAACGAACACCACUCCACUCUCCGUAACAAACUCCACGUGGCUUUGAACGGUCCCUGACACCACUACUCUCUGUAACAAACUCCGUGCAGCUCUGAAUGACCCACUACCAGGCGGUUACAGACAUCGCUGUUAAUCAGUUACGCUCUCCGUCUAUAAAAAGGGACCCCCAGAUACGUUCUUCUCUAAGCUUUAAACUCUAUCUUGAAACUCUGCUAAAAUUUUCACUCAAGCACUCCAUUUCUGUUGAAGCAGAGUACUGACUUGAGCGUUGGAGGGUCUUGCCAGAGUACCCCCAACUUUGAUUUAGACUUUCCUUGCAGGUCCCGACGGUGGCCGCGGUCAUCCCAGCUCCAACUUCUCC
This 429-nucleotide long non-coding RNA is filed under the name Elaeis guineensis (African oil palm). Its description in RNAcentral is "long non-coding RNA (EGUI_LNC063764)". The record is from RNAcentral. Lineage: Eukaryota; Viridiplantae; Streptophyta; Magnoliopsida; Arecales; Arecaceae.